Molecule: ribosomal RNA, 522 nt
Filed under: uncultured archaeon
Lineage: Archaea
Description: bacterial SSU rRNA
Rfam family: Archaeal small subunit ribosomal RNA
Source: RNAcentral
ACGGGGUGCAGCAGGCGCGAAACCUCCGCAAUACACGAAAGUGUGACGGGGUUACCCAAAGUGUUCAAUUUUGAACUGUGGUAGGUGAGUAAUGUUCCCUACUAGAAAGGAGAGGGCAAGGCUGGUGCCAGCCGCCGCGGUAAAACCAGCUCUUCAAGUGGUCGGGAUAAUUAUUGGGCUUAAAGUGUCCGUAGCCGGUUUAGUAAGUUCCUGGUAAAAUCGGGUAGCUUAACUAUCUAUAUGCUAGGAAUACUACUAUACUAGAGGGCGGGAGAGGUCUGAGGUACUGCAGGGGUAGGGGUGAAAUCUUAUAAUCCUUGUUGGACCACCAGUGGCGAAGGCGUCAGACUGGAACGCGCCUGACGGUGAGGGACGAAAGCCAGGGGAGCGAACCGGAUUAGAUACCCGGGUAGUCCUGGCCGUAAACGAUGCAUACUAGGUGAUGGCACGGCCAUGAGCCGUGUCAGUGCCGUAGGGAAACCGUUAAGUGUGCCGCCUGGGAAGUACGGUCGCAAGGCUAAA